ACGGUGAACUCCUUAUGGUAAAAUUGCUAUAUGGACAAUACCGUGGGAAGUCAUCUGUUCAAAUUUUAGCAGAUUGACCCCGUAACGACU
RNAcentral lists this non-coding RNA (90 nucleotides) under Candidatus Collierbacteria bacterium GW2011_GWC2_44_13. The record is from RNAcentral. Lineage: Bacteria; Candidatus Collieribacteriota.